GGGCAAGUCCUGCACAACCAGCUCCCUUUGAACCCUCCAGGGCGGGAACGCAGCAAAGGUAUUAGGUUGUAGCGGUGUGAUGCAGGUCGCUUGCCCUUU
This 99-nucleotide signal recognition particle RNA is filed under the name Lutibacter sp. Its description in RNAcentral is "signal recognition particle sRNA small type". It matches the Rfam family "Bacteroidales small SRP". Rfam says of the family: The non-coding component of the signal recognition particle in Bacteroides Lineage: Bacteria; Pseudomonadati; Bacteroidota; Flavobacteriia; Flavobacteriales; Flavobacteriaceae. The record is from RNAcentral.